AAAUAACCAAUUUGUUUACUUCCGUUUCCGUUUCCAACAUGGCAGCUUCGUGAAUUGCGAAUAAUUUUCAAAGUUUAUCGCUUGAUUCUCAGAGGGGAUAGAUUAUAAUAACAAAACUUUAUAGAAAAUGAGUAACGAAGAUGAUGUAGUUCUUGACUUUGGUGAAGAGGAAUUCGAUAAGAAUCGGAUUUUAAAACAUCCUGUGGCAGUGUUUUUCCACCUAUUUUUCCGGAUUGGAGCUCUAGUUGCAUAUUUGUUGUGUGGAUGUUUCAGUGACAGUUUUAUCACCAACUUUGUUGUUAUUGUUAUUCUAUUGUCCAUGGACUUUUGGACGGUUAAAAACAUUUCGGGUCGAUUACUGGUUGGUCUAAGAUGGUGGAAUUAUGUAGAUGAAGAGGGCAAUAGUAAAUGGAUGUUCGAAUCUCGUAAAAAUAGAAAAGGUACUGUAACUGCCACAGAAUCUCGGAUAUUCUGGUUGUCUCUAGUCCUGUGCCAAAUCUUAUGGAUAGUCUUCUUAUUUGGAACAAUAUUUACAUUAAAAUUCAAAUGGCUUAUGGUGGCUGUUAUUGGAGUGAUCAUGAAUGGGUCCAAUCUUCUAGGUUAUAUAAGAUGUAAAUGGGGAACCAAACAGAAUAUGACAUCACUUGCUAAGAAUUUCCUUAGUGCUCAAGUUCUUAAAUCAAUGUUUUCCAACAAGUCAACAACUUCCCCACAACAACAGACUUGAUAAAUUCGGACAUGAUGCAAUAAGUUUGGAUACAUUUUUGUGAUAUAUAUUGUAUAUAGUGUGGGAUGAACAAAAACUCUGGGUCAUUUAUUGGUAUUCUUAGGACAGUGCUGGGGCAGGCUGUGAUGAUUUGAUGAUGUGUGACACUGUAAGAUUUUAACAACAUGUACUGGUCAACAGCAUGUACAUGUAUGUAGAAAAUCUGCAAGUGGAGAUAGAUGAAUUCUUGCUGACUGUGUUUAACAAUUAUUUAUUUUGCAUAUAAUAUAAGUAUUAGGUUUUUUUUUCUUUAUGUAGACUACACUUUUAGAAUAUCCUAUAUAAAUUUUAAAAUAUCAAUAGCAUAAUUUAUGUUUCAAGGUAUGAGUGUUGUUUGUAUAAUUAAUUACAGUAAAGCUUUUCAUGCUGUUGAUGGUACGGUAUAUGGUAAUGAAUAUAAAAUCAGGCAAAGAAAAGUCCUUAUCAACAACAUCCACUCAAUCUCUAAUACCACUGUGGUAAUAUUGAAAUAGUGGCAUGGCCGAUUAGUUAAUGUGCUUGACUAAUGAUUGCUGGCCAUGAUUGCUCAAACCCUGUCAGGAAUAAACUGUUAUUUCCUUGAGCAAGAAACUUUACACUCAUUGCUUAGUACUGGUUGGUUCCGGGAACAGAUUGAAGAGUGUGGUACACAAACUAAAAUAAAUUCUAUAUUCUGAAUUUUUGAUUUGUUCAUGAUAUGUAAUGUAUAGUCUGUACAUAAUAUAUAUGAAGAUUACUUGUAUACUUAUUGGCAUGUUCAUCAAUGGAAUUUUGGGUCAUUUUUUACCAUAAAUGUAAAUUCUUAAGUUUGGAUAACAGAAUAGACUUGUACCAGAAAGACUUUACCAUUAUUUUGAUAAAAGUCUGGUUUAUAACAUUCCAUCAUCUUUUGAUCAUUUAAAUGUCCCAUAUUUUAUUUCUCUAUUGUGCUGAUGUUAGAAGGUAUUGGAUUCUUCAAUACAAUAUAUAUUCAAUAAAUAUUUCUUGUUUACAUCAUACUAUUUAUAUAGAUUUUAUUGCUUUAUUUUUAAGUUACUUGUAUACAUUGAAAAGCAUUAAUAGUUAUUACUUUGAUUAAGCUGUAAGGGAUAUAUAUGUACAUUGUUUAUGUACAUUGUACAUAUUUUAAUUGUUGUAUAACAUAAGAAGUCCAACAACAACAUUGUAUAAUUAUGACGGUUAUCAUUUAAUCUUUUUAUACAAUCAAUAGUUGUUGUAUAUUGAUGUCCAUUUAGGCACAAUUCAGAUUGAGAAUAUUUCUUUUAGAAACAAUAUAUAAUAAUACAUUAUCUUAGCAUAACUAAACCAGGUGUAAAUUACUCCCUGGUACAUUUAGUUACCCCUUUCCCCCUGGCAAAUAUCUUAAAUGGACUUGUCCAUUGUUAAUAUGGACAAAAACCUUUCUUUGUUUUGCAGCUGUUUAGGAGUCCAAUAGAAUAAGUAUUGUUCUAAACAAUGUAUAAUAACCACUUUAUUUCACACCACAGUUUUUUGAAACUUUGAAAAUACUGUUACUUUAUGUAAAAUAAGGAAUCAAUAUAAGUUUUUUAUAUAGUUCAGUGUGUAUAAAUUGUCUGAUCAUAUAUCUAAAUAAGUAACAAUAAUAUUAGGUAGUUUUAUCUAUGGUUUGUCAGAUUAUUUAUUGAGUUAUAAUACAUGUAUUAGGCCAGUGUUGUAAAGAAACCUCAUAGAAAGUAAUUCAGCAAAGACUUUUCAUGCUUCUUUUGUUGUUUGUUAUGGUUUUUUUUUGUUAAGAAGAUCAUAAUUGUCAUGUACUUUGUUUUUAUACUUUUUAAGAUCAUGGUACAAUACAUUAAAUUGGGAUGUAGGGUGAUCUAUUGAUUUGUAGAAUAGUAUGAAAUGUAUAAAAUUCUACCAGUACCCUGUUACAGCCUGUGAAAUACUUUGGGAAAUCCAUUUUGUUGUUUCGAAUUUGUGAUUUGAAUAUGUUAUCUUAACCUGCCUGAAGCUUGAUAUGUUAAAAAUGAAGAAUGGAGUUAUAAAGAAUAAAGAUUAAAUGAUAAAAUAAU
Molecule: RNA transcript, 2775 nt
Organism: Ruditapes philippinarum (Manila clam)
Lineage: Eukaryota; Metazoa; Mollusca; Bivalvia; Venerida; Veneridae
Gene name: Golgi apparatus membrane protein TVP23 homolog B-like
Exons: 7
Source: RefSeq, a predicted model, not a curated record